CUGGGCCGGGCGUGGCGGCUGGAGCUGGGUCCCGCCCGCGCCUCCUUCGAGCUGCCCAAAACCCCAAACCAGCCCCAAAAACCCCCAAAACAGCCCGUAAAAAAUCCCAAAAAAUCCCAAAAAAACCCCGGAACAUCCCGGAACAUUCCGGAACAUUCCCAGCUGGAGCUGUCCUGUCUGGGCCGGGCAUGGCGGCUGGAGCUGGGUCCCGCCCGCGCCUCCUUCGAGCUGCCCAAAACCCCAAACCAGCCCCAAAAACCCCCAAAACACCCUGUAAAAAAUCCCAAAAAAUCCCAAAAAAACCCCGGAACAUCCCGGAACAUUCCGGAACAUUCCCAGCUGGAGCUGUGGUCUCUGGGCCGGGCGUGGCGGCUGGAGCUGGGUCCCGCCCGCGCCUCCUUCGAGCUGCCCGGCCUCUCGUGCUCCGGGCUCCGGGUCCGGCUCCUGCGGCUCUCGGGGGCGGCGGCGCAGCGCUGGCUGCGGCACCUGAGCCACGGCCGCGACUACGAGAUGAGACUCUGAGAAUUCCAGAGAAAUCCCGGGAAUUCCCGGAAUUCCGGAGCUCCGGAGACAUCCCACGGCCGCGACUACGAGAUGAGACUGUGAGAAUUCCAGAGAAAUCCCGGGAAAUCCCGGAAUUCCGGAGCUCCAGAGACAUCCCACGGCCGCGACUACGAGAUGAGGCUCUGAGAAUUCCAGAGAAAAUCCCAAAAAUCCCGGAAUUCCGGAGACAUCCCACGGCCGCCACUACGAGAUGAGACUGUGAGAAUUCCAGAGAAAAUCCCAAAAAUCCCGGAAUUCCGGAGCUCCAGAGACAUCCCAUGGCCGCGACUACAAGAUGAGAUUGUGAGAAUUCCAGAGAAUUCCCGGAAUUCCGGAGACAUCCCACGGCCAUGACUGCGAGAUGAGGCUCUGAGAAUUCCCGAGAAAUUCCCAGGAAAUUCCCAAAUAAACAGCCCAGAACGAAGGAGUUGCUGCA
RNAcentral lists this long non-coding RNA (979 nucleotides) under Lonchura striata (white-rumped munia). RNAcentral describes it as "domestica (Bengalese finch) lncRNA (ENSLSDG00000001726.1)". Lineage: Eukaryota; Metazoa; Chordata; Aves; Passeriformes; Estrildidae. The record is from RNAcentral.